This is a non-coding RNA of Pelecanus crispus (Dalmatian pelican), 74 nucleotides long. The record is from Rfam. NCBI's taxonomy places the organism in Eukaryota, Metazoa, Chordata, Aves, Pelecaniformes, Pelecanidae.
GCUGGGUUAGCUCAGUAGGUUAGAGCAUGGUGGUAAUAACGCCAAGUUCACAGGUUCAAUCCCUGCUUACUGCA